UCCUACGGGAGGCAGCAGUGGGGAAUCUUGCACAAUGGGGGAAACCCUGAUGCAGCGAUGCCGCGUGAGUGAAGAAGGCCCUUGGGUUGUAAAACUCUUUCGUCGGGGAAGAAAAUGACUGUACCCGAAUAAGAAGGUCCGGCUAACUUCGUGCCAGCAGCCGCGGUAAU
RNAcentral lists this ribosomal RNA (170 nucleotides) under uncultured bacterium. RNAcentral's name for it is "partial 16S ribosomal RNA". It matches the Rfam family "Bacterial small subunit ribosomal RNA", at positions 337 to 524 of the family's 1533-position model. The record is from RNAcentral.